GACAGGACAUUAAUAUGCAAGUAUAAGUACAAUUGCAUAAUAUCUUGUAUAGAAACAAAAGAAAAUCGGCACGUACAACCGGCACUUAUUACAUUGGAGCUACAGGUCACAUUACAUGUGAAAUUUAGUAUAACACUUUCAAAGGAUAAACAAUUUAACAUGUGAUUCAUCCUCCCAUAUUGUCCUUUUACUAUGUCUUCUUGCCCACUGCUGGGAACUCAAACAUCUGACUUGGCAUAACCCUCAAAUGCUUGGCCUCACAUUGAGACGGGAUGCGAGCUUUUGACCCAGAGAUUUAUCUGCCUGCAUUGCCAAUACAAAGAAUAACACAUCAGAAAAACAUGGCUGCUUUAUUCUAAUACUAACCCUUCAUAUUCCAGUAUAACAUUAUAAAGUUACUUAACUGUACAAAUUCACAAAUGCAAUAAAUUAUAAAUAGACUCACCUGAGACCAGUAUGAGAUCCAAACGCUGCGAAUCUCAUGGGUGACACGUGGGUCUGAUAGGGCAUCCACCCAUCGGUGGAUGAAUCGCUCUUGCCUGCAUGAAGAUACACGAUUAAGAACAAAUAUGAUGUUUUUUUUCAGGGCAGACAACUAUGAUGUUUGAAUACAAUUAUUUUCAUAUAGAGACAUCAUAGGGUUGCCAGGUACCUGUCUGGCGCCCAAGAUCUGUAUCUCUCUCCAGGUUGCUUAAAGUUGUUCUCCUUCUCAAUGAUGCACUGAAAAACCAAAAAAACCAACAUACUCAAAAUAUACAAAAAGUUGCCAUAGGAAUUAUUAUGUGCAGCAACCUAGGAAAAUCCAGAAAUGCAAUCGGUACAUAUGUAUAUACCUACACUAGUGUAUGUGCCCGGGUGACUAAAAAAAGGGAGAGCUGGAAGAAAAGAUAAUGUACAGAAGAGAUGGGGAAACUAAGGUAUAUUCAAAGCAAUAUUCCGCAAUUGAUAGAAACUGACCUUCUCACGCUUUCCAGAAAGGAUAUUAGGAGGAAUGGGGAAGCGCUCAGCAUGACGAACAGGAUCAUACCUUGAAGGGAAGUAAUUAACCUGAAGAUUAUAGCAACUCAUCAGAGAAAACUAAAAUGAAUAAACAAGCAUACAAUUGGAGUUGUCCUCCCAGAAUAUUGAGCAAUCUAAGUAUACAAGGGCCAAAGGGAUUCCAUAUGAGACAUAACAAUUGAGUAAAAUAAUAAUACCUCCUCAUCCCUGUGCAUGAAAUUCAUGAAUCCCUCAUGAUGAUUGUUAUGAUGAGAACACUUGGGAGCAUUCACUGGGAGCUGCAGAUAGUUCGGGCCAAGACGGUGCCUCUGAGUAUCAGAAUAGGAGAAGAUUCGAGUUUGGAGCAACUUAUCAUCUGAAUAGUAGACACCAGGGACAACAAUGGCAGGGCAAAAUGCAAGUUGUUCAUUCUCUGCAAAGAAGUUAUCAAUGUUUUUAUUCAGAACCAGACGGCCAACUGGCUGCAGAGGAAGAAUAUCUUCAGGCCAGGUCUUAGUUACAUCAAGUGGAUCAAAGUCAAAUCUGUCCUCAUGAUUGGGAUCAAUUGUCUGAAUAUAAAGUUUCCACUCAGGGUAGUUGCCAGCUGCAAUGGAAUCAUAGAGAUCCUUGGUAGCAUGGCUGUGAUUAGCUCCUCCAACCUUAAUAGCUUCAUCCUCCAACAAACACUUGACUCCACACGUAGGUUUCCAAUGAAAUUUCACAUACUGUACUUUCCCCGCCUUAUUGAUAAGGGUAUAGGUGUUAACACCAGAGCCUUCCAUGUGCCUGUAAUCUUGUGGAACUCCCAGAUCAUCAAAUAGGAAGGUGAACAUGUGCAGGCUUUCUGGGUGGUGGGAGAAGAAGUCAAGGAUCCUCCAAGGCUCUUGAAUGUGCGACUUGGGGUUCGGUUUGAGAGCAUGGACCAUGUCCGGGAAUUUCAUUCCGUCACGAACAAAAAAGACAGGGAAAUUGUUUCCAACCAGGUCAAAAUUACCCUGUGUUUAAGAACAAAGUCGCCACAUGAGUACUAACAACACAGCAAAAUAAACCUGAAUAAAGUUGUAUAUAGUGAAUAAUAAUGUUACCAAGAAAUCAACCAUCUGUAUAAGCAUCUAGAUUACAGAUGGUAUGCUACAUGAGCAAUCUUUUACAGCCAGGUGACUACCCCCAUUAGUAAACGAAAAUGAAAAGGCAAAGAAAAGAAAGGAAUGAAUGCAAUCUUUCAUCAAAGUCACAAGACUGCAUAAUUUCCAACAACUAUAAUUAGUCAAAUAUGAAUUGAGUACUUCAUAUUUUGUCACCACAGCCACCUCAGCUGCCACUACAGACACCAAUACAUAUCCACUAAAUAUGCCUAUGCUAUUGAAAAUAAAAAUAAAAUUAACACAUUGAUAAUAUAAAGGUAAAAACCUCACCUCUCUGGUGUAAAACUUCACUGCAAAACCACGAGGAUCCCUCAGGGUUUCAGGGCUGCCACGCUCAUGGAUAACAGUGGAGAAACGCACAAUGACAGGUGUCUGAACACCGGGGGCUCGAAGGAAGUCAGCACAUGUAAGCUGAGAAAUAUCAUGAGUGACCUCGAAGAAUCCCUUCGCACUGGCUCCCCUAGCAUGGACAACACGCUCUGGGAUUCGUUCUCUAUCAAAGUUGGCAAGUUUCUCCACCAGAUGAUAGUCCUCAAGGAGAAUUGGGCCUGACAAAUAGACACAGAAAUUUAAUUCGGAACUGCACCGACUCAACUCACCAUAUUUAAGCAUCUAGAUUACAUGCAAAUAUAGGAUAAAAAUGAAAUUAGUUGUUAUACAUUCCAGAACAUCAAAUAAAGAUGAUUGCUGCUCAGUUGCAAAUAUUCGUAAUUUUUAUUUACAUUUAGAAGGUAGGUUUUCAGACAACCAGAUGAUCAAAAAACCCAUCUUGACAAACCAAAAGGAGGCUGGAGGAAUUAAAAGAGAACCAACAGUGCGGGAGAAUCAUUUUUCAACUAAAGUAAGCAUAAAAUUUUAAAAUAAAUGUCAAUAGGAAAAGGAUCAGCUUCAAAUACAAGAUAUAUAAGUAUAUAUACAUAUCUUAAAUCCCACAAGCGUUUCCAAAGAUUAAUCAUCCUCAACAUGGUAGUGGUGGGAAUAACAUCCAAAAAGCAGUUUACAGCUCAUAAUCACAUGAAUAUCAAAAUCUUGUUCAGAAAAGUUGAGAAAACCAUCACAAAAAUUCAAAACCCAGGUAAGCGAAGAACCAAUGAUAACAAAGAUGAAUAUAUACACACAAAUAGUGAAUAGCAUCAUAAGAUAGAUUGAACAUGAAGCGCAACUAAAAAAACAAUAAAAUAUAAAAUAUAAACUGUGUUGCAAUUGAAAAGCCAGCAUCAAUCAACGAAGAGUUGUGAUGAAUUACCUCUAGAUCCAACAGUCAAAGAAGAGUUGUUGUUCCAAACAGGAGCACCGGAGUUUGUGGUCCAGAAUGGGGAAUCAAAAGCACUUGAAGGGCGGUACUGCAACAUACACAACGAAAACGAAACAAGACCAUGAUGAGCUAAAAGAACAACAAACACAAAAUUUCGAGCUACGCUUAAAUGACCAAUCUGAUUGAUCAAGAAGAUUAAUUCAUCAAGAAAUCAAACUUAAACAAAUCAAGAGAUAUUAUAACAGGGAAAUGAGUACCUUGUAAGGAUCCAUGGAGAAAGAGGGGGAAGGAGGAGUUUGAUAAGAAGGUGAGAGAGCAGAGCAAAGCCACCCAAAGGGAGGGUCGUGUGGCAAAUGAGAAUCGAAGAGCGAAAUGUGAAAUUGGGGAAUUUAUAAACACUUGCGGGUCGUGGGCGUGGCUCGCGCUUCUGCGCAAAUUACCAAUCUCAGCAGGUUAUCUUUAUCCACACACAGAGUGGGAGGUCAAGAGAAGAGAAGACAUAUCUUUGCCAAUUUAGCGUCGCGAGUCAGAACGAUUCUCGCCAAACCUGUCAACGAAGCAUUCUUGUAUGCACAAUUGUGGCAAAACGUCCUUCACUCACUUCAAAUCUUUUACAACCAAUUUUAUGAGGAGGGAUUUUUUUACAAAAAAAAUAAAAAAUUAUACAAUUUUAUGAGGAGAUGGUAUGCAACAAAAAAACAGAGGGGAUUCAGAUUUUUUUUUUUUAAUGGAAAUUAUUGUCCAAAAACAAAAGAAACAUUGAAGAAAUUGAGAGUUCAAUUUAAAAGUAAAAGAGAUCAUUAAAAUGAGUAAAAGAGACUAGAAACACCAUAAUUGACUGUGUAAUUAUAAAAUAUAUGGAGUCGUUUUUUUAUUUUUCAAAUUUUGUGAACAUAUUAUCCCUAAAUAAUGAACACAAAAAUUGAUUUAAAUAUAAUGUUGGUGUUGAUUGCAAUUAAUAAUAGCUAACUAUAGAGAUUUGAUUGAAACAAUUAAAACAUUUCACCACGACAACAAGGUCAAGAAUGCAAGUUGUUUAUUAUUAUGAAUUGGUUUCAAGACGAACAAUUUAACAACAAAUUCCAAACCUCUAUAUUUAGGAUUCAUGCAUUUAUCUACAUUUUAUGAAACUAAGUUGCUCAAAUAAUCUAACCAUUUAACAUGACACAUCAUCAAUUUUUAACCUAAGAUUUUUUUAAAAAAAAAUUGAAGUUAAUUUUAAAGUUAACGUGCUUGAGGGGUUUUUUUUUUCAUCAUGCUUCCUCCUUGAGAAAACUGUGAAUAAAAUUAAUUAAUUGCUACUUAUCUUCAGCUUAUAUAUUGAACCCUAAAGCAUAAAGCGAACUUCAAAACUUUAAUUUUUUGGCCACACAAACUUGAGCAAAGUAUGUCUUAUCUUUUUCACAAGAUUAUUCACUCUCAUUCUAAAUUCAUCGUGAUAUGUUAAGAAAUAACAAGUUUCACGAUGAACUAAAAAAGAACUCUCAAGCACGUUAACAUUAACGUUAGCAUAAGUUUUUGGAAAGAACGAAAAAGACCUUAAUUUAAAGAUUGAUGAUAUGUCAUAUGAAUGGUUAAAUUAUUUAGUUUAAAUUUUACGAAAUAUAAAUAAAUACACGGAUUCUAAAUAUAGAAAUUUGAUAUUCAUUUGCCAUAAAUAUCACUUUAAGAGUGAAAAUCCAGAAUACUAAACUAAAAUUAUAUUUCUUCACAAAAAUUGCAUCUAAAGAUGAGGAUAAAUUGAUGUUCAUCCGGACAUUGAAAAAGCACAAUAUAUCGUGAAGAUAUUCGAUAUAUUGAAAACCUCGCCGAUAUUCAUGUAGGAAGGCUAAACGAUUUUUUUAUGGCAAAAACUUCAACAACAACAACAAAAAAAGAGGCCUGGAAAAUUAUUAUUAUCAUAAUCGUGGUGGGAAUUCAAAAUUGAAAAUAAUUGAGAACGUCAUGCAUUCAUCGUUCGUUAUCCAGGUCUUGGAGCUUUGCUAACACCUAGGCGCAACCACUUAAGGCAGUGGCGGGUAUGGGUGACGUGGUCCACUCACAAGACGCCACGACCACCAAAGUGUACCUUGAAACGCGUGCUCUUAGAAAAUAGCACAGAGAUUCUCUCUCUCAGGGGAUAUGCUUGAAAUUUAUGAACAAAACAGAAGGAAAAAUAAAAACAAACAAGAGGCUAUUUUUGGUGUUGUCUGUGUGAAAGCCGCCAAAACAGCAAAUAUGCUGAUAAGGUUAGAAUGGGCCGAGCUCAGAUUAGCCACAAAGACUGUUCCUCUCUGGGCCCACUUAUCAAUAUUUUAACAUUUUUUUUAAUGGAGCUCGACAAUGAACAAAUUUUGAAGGUAAUUACUUGAUGUUAGUUAGAGAACCUCUAUGUCUAAGGGAACUACGAGUUCAAGGAAGCUUUGAGGUAUGCUCAUGUGACCCUACUUCUUGUUCUUUAUGCAUAAACAUAUUCAAGUUGCAUGUUCAAGGCUUGCCAUCUAAUCAUUAUAUAAUAUUUUGAUCAUCUAUUAUAAAAAUAUAAAAAAAACUAUGUAACUGGGCCUUGGUGCAAUAAGAACUUAAGCAUUAGCUUCAUGUAUGUAGGAAAAGUAGCAAAUAAUUUCAAUUGUAAAAUGAAUGCUUUGGUUUCUUUUCUUGUUAAUGCCGUUUGACUGGUUGUUUUGUCUUAGUGGUUCUUUGACCUCUCUUUGGUCUUUUUAUUGAAAGUUAUGUUGAGAAACUGAAAUUAACUUAAACGUAAAAGGAUUUUUUGAGUAAACAUAUUUCACAGCAUAAGAAUACUGCAGUUUUCCUCUCUUAUAUAUAUCUGAAAAACAAAGCUUACAAAAUAACAAUCUCCACAAUAACCACUAACACACAAGUGCAGAUUUUGUGGAGUUCAACUACCUUAAGCAACGGAAGCAAAUUUGAACGUGGUGAACAGACUAAACCACAACUUCUACAUUCUAGGACUUCAGCUUGACUUGGUCUCUACAUGGCCAUGUCAGCAUUAUUUAAUUAAAAAACUAAUUAAACUUAACUAAAUAACUUUUAACACCCUCCCUUAAACUGAUUUUUACGAAAAACAGUUUAGGAUCUCUACACCAUCACAUAAUCAUCUUCCUGUUCAAUGCUUUGAAAUGAACAAACUCCCAACAUGCUUCUCAGCUUCUCAAGCGCAGGUACCAUCACAUAAUCAUCUUCCUGUUCAAUGCUUUGAAAUGAACAAACUCCCAACAUGCUUCUCAGCUUCUCAAACGCAGGUUGCUUCAAAGGCUUAGUUAAGAUGUCUGCAACCUGCUCCCCACUCUUGCAAUAUUCAAGUACAAUCUUCCCAUCACUGCACAGGUCACGCAAAAAAUGAAAACGUACAUCAAUGUGUUUACUUCUCCCAUGCAUGACUGGAUUCCUCGAUAGCUUUAUAGUUGACAUGUUGUCGCAGUAGAUGGUUGUUGGUCCCUUUUGAACAUCACCAAGCACUUCAAAUAUUUUCCUAAGCGACAUAGCUUGACAGGAGCUUGCAGCUGCUGCUACAUAUUCAGCUUCUGUUGAGGAAAGUGUCACAAUUUGUUGCUUCUUUGAGGACCACGAUAUUGCACCAGAGUUGAGCAGAAAUGUGUGACCGGAAGUGCUCUUACGAUCAUCUAUAUCACCUGCAUAGUCACUAUCUGUGUACCCAACAAAACCAGAACCAUCUUCCCUUUUAUAAAACACACCAUAAUCAAUUGUCCCCUUUACAUACCUGAGAAUUCUCUUUGCUGCAUUGAGAUGCAUUUCAGUUGGUUUUUCCAUAUAUCGGCUCACAAGACUCACUGCAUACAUGAUGUCAGGCCUCGUGUAUGUUAAAUACAUGAGACUCCCAAUUAUCUGUUUAUAGAAAGUGCUGUCAACCUCCUUUCCACCUUUGUCUUUGCAUAGCUUUAAGCCAUGUUCAGCUGGAGUUCCAAAUGGCUUGCAGUCAUCCAUCUGAAACCUGUUAAGAAUGUCCUGUGCAUAUUUUUUCUGGUAGAUGAAAUUACCAGCAGUAGUUUGAAUGACUUCCAAUCCAAGAAAAUAGUGCAUUAAUCCUAGAUCAGUCAUUUCAAACUCCAUCAUCAUAGACUUCUUGAAUUCAUCAAACAUUUUAGCAUCACUUCCAGUGAAUAUCAAGUCAUCAACAUACAAGCAUACCAUGAGUAUUUUACCUUCUUCCUCAGUCUUGACAUAAAGUGUGUGCUCAAAAGGACAUUUGUGAAAUCCAAGCUUAGCAAAGUGAGCAUCUAUGCGACUGUACCAAGCUCGAGGUGCUUGUUUCAGUCCAUAGAGUGUUUUCUUCAGUUUGAACACCUUCUCUUCUUCUCCUUUUCUCUCAUAACCAGGUGGUUGAUCAAUGUACACCUCCUCUUGCAGGUUUCCAUGCAGGAAUGCUGACUUCACGUCUAACUGAAAAAUUUGCCAGGAAUUUUGAGCUGCAAGAGAGAUCACUAACCUAAUCGUGUCGUGCCUCGCAACUGGGGCAAACACCUCUUUGUAAUCAAUGCCAUGCUUCUGCUUGUAGCCCUUAGCUACCAAACGAGCUUUGUGCUUGUCAACCUCACCUUUUUCGUUCAACUUUGUUCUAAACACCCAUUUAACACCAAUGGUUUGCUUUCCCUUUGGAAGAUCAGUUAACUCCCAGGUUUGAUUCUUCUCAAUGGACUUGAUUUCAUUGUCCAUUGCUUCCCUCCAUUUCUCCUCUUUAACAGCCUCAGUAUAUGUGAUUGGAUCACUAUCUACAAGUAAUGCAAAGUGAGCAUUUUCAUCAUCAGAACUUGAAUAACUUACAUCGUAGUCCAUCAUCCAUGCUGGCCUCUUCCUUGAGUUCUCAUCUCUCAAAUUGUAUCUCUCUUCUUCAAACUGUUGAGAUGACUGAACUUCAAGUUGAGGUGGCUGCUGGGCUUGAGUUUCAGGAGCUGCUACCUCUUCAUUGUCUAAAUCAUCAUAAACUGGAAUUUGUUGUUGAACCGAUCUGUUCUCAGACCAAUUCCACAUAGUGUCUUCAUCAAAUAUCACAUCCCUGCUUACCACUAUCUUCUUUGUAACUGGAUUGUACAGUUUGUAUGCUUUUGAGACUUCACUUACACCAAGAAAAACACAUUUUUCACUUUUGUCAUCCAACUUCUUUCUUUUCUCAUCGGGGAUGUGUGCAUAUGCUAUGCACCCAAACACCCUAAAGUGAUCAACCGCAGGCUUCAAUCCACUCCAAGCUUCUUGAGGAGUCAUAUUCUUAACAGAAAAUGUGGGACUUCUGUUUAAAAUAUGAACUGACCAUAGCACAGCUUCAGGCCAAAACUUCUUGGGAAUUCUUCCUUUGACUAGCAGACUUCGAACCAUGUUGAGAAUGGUGCGAUUUUUCCUCUCACUUACACCAUUUUGUUGUGGUGUAUAGGCAGUGGUCAACUGUCUCUUGAUGCCUUUCUCUUUGCAAAAUGCAUCAAAUUCCUUCGAACAGUACUCUCCCCCACGGUCAGUUCUUAGAGUUUUAAUCUUCUUUUCUGAUUCAUUUUCAACUAGAGCUUUGAAGCUUUUGAAUGCUUCAAAUGCCUCUGAUUUUUCCUGCAAGAAAUAUACCCAUGUCUUUCUACUAAAAUCAUCAGUAAAGGAGAUGAAAUAUUUCUUGUUACCAUUUGAGAUGGGAUUUAUUGGUCCACAUAGAUCAGAGUGAACCAUCUCCAGGAUUUAUUGAGCCCUUGCUGCCUUGCCACUUGGAAAAGAGUCUCUUUUGUGCUUCCCAGUGAUGCAUUCUUCACACAUCUUUGAUGGAGGAGUUAUAUCAGGUAAGCCAGUGACCAUCCCUUUCUGGUGAAGUGUUCUCAAGCCAUUAAAAUUCAAAUGGCCAUAUCUGUAGUGCCAUCUCCACGGGUCAUCUUCUUUGGCAAAUAAGCAAGCCUGCAGAGUCUUGAUUUUCAAAGGAAACAAUCUGUUGGAAGACAUUUUCACAACAGCAAUGGACCCUCUUUUUGGGUCGUACACUUCCCACUCUCCUUUAUAGAUUGUAAUCCUAUAGCCUUUAUCUUGUAACUGACCAGCACUCAGCAAAUUUGUCUUCAAAUCAGGAAUAUAAAAAACAUUUGAGAUAGUUUCAAUAAAGUCAUUUUUAGUUUUGAUUUGAAUAUCUCCCUUACCCAUCACUUUCACUGUUGACUUGUCACCAAAACUCACUACCGUGUGAAAGCUUUCAUCCAAAUUAAUAAAGGAAGACUUACAUCCACUCAUGUGAUUGCUGCAGCCUGUGUCCACAUACCAUGUCUCCUGAUCAGUUUUUGUCAGUGCAUGAAAAGCCAUCAAAAGUGUCUCUUCCUCCUUCUUUUUCUCCACAAAAUUUGACUUUUCUCCUUUUUCUUUUGGUAACUUCGUGUAGCACUCAUUCUUGUAGUGCCCAAAAUUUCCACAUCUAUAACACUCCACUUUUGACUUAUCAAAGUGGUACGUUCCUUUUUCUUCAAAGUCAUCAUCUCUUUUGAAAACAUGAGAUGACUUGCUGUCAUCUCUAUGUCCAGACCGUCCACCUCCUCGAUGACCUCGACCACCUCUUCCUCUAUCACGUCCACCUCUUCCACGACCUCUUCCUCCUCGAGAACUUGAGGACUCAGAAACAAUGGAAGCUUUCAGAGCUGUUUGUUCUUCACUGGCAGUGGUGCGGUUAAGUCUUUGUUCAUGCACUAACAAAGAGCUUUGUAGUUCAUCAACUCGUAACUCAGCAACGUUCUUUGCCUCUUCAAUUGAACAGACAAUGUAGUCAAAUUUUGGAGUCAAUGAUCUCAUAAUUUUCUCCACAACUUUGACUUCUUCCAUGGUGCCACCAUUGGAUCUCAUCUUGCUUGCUAUUCCCAGAGUUCUAGCAAAGAAAUCAGUGAUGGACUCUCCUGAUUUCAUUUGUAAAGUUUCGAAGUCCCUUGUUAGAGUUUGAAGCACUGCACGCUUCACCCUCUCUGACCCUGCAUAUUUCUUCUUCAAAGAAUCCCAUAUUUGUUUGGAGGUCUCCUUCUCGAGUAUCGUCUCCAAGAUAGAUCGAUCAAGUGCCUGAAAAAGGUAAUUUUUCACCCUCAAGUCCUUCAGCUUCUGUUCAGCAACCCUCUUUUGUUGUUGUUCAGUCAACACAACUCCCUCUGCUGGGGCGUCAAUUCCUGAUUCCACAAGAUUCCAAUACUCCUUUGACCUGAGAAAAUUUUCCAUCAGCAUGCUCCAAUGGUCGUAGUGACCAUCAAAUCGUGGAAUCGCUGGUUGAAUAAAACUCUCAGUGGCUUUCUCUGUUGCCAUUGUUUCUUGCUGCUGCAAGACACAAUCUUUCACCUUUUUUUCAAGUUUGUUCAGGCCCAGAAGAGCUCUGAUACCAGAUGUUGAGAAACUGAAAUUAACUUAAACGUAAAAGGAUUCUUUGAGUAAACAUAUUUCACAGCAUAAGAAUACUGCAGUUUUCCUCUCUUAUAUACAUCUGAAAAACAAAGCUUACAAAAUAACAAUCUCCACAAUAACCACUAACACACAAGUGCAGAUUUUGUGGAGUUCAACUACCUUAAGCAACGGAAGCAAAUUUGAACGUGGUGAACAGACUAAACCACAACUUCUACAUUCUAGGACUUCAGCUUGACUUGGUCUCUACAUGGCCAUGUCAGCAUUAUUUAAUUAAAAAACUAAUUAAACUUAACUAAAUAACUUUUAACAAGUUAAUCAAAUAAAAUAAAAAUAAAACAACAAUUAGAAGGGUUGCAAUUAGAUAGGCUUGCUAGGCUCCAAGAGGUGCAAGACUGUCUUUUGAUUAAAGUUCAAGCUCCCAAGUCCAAAUUUGGGGCACCAACUAGCCUAUCUCAUUGCAGGCGCUUAACACUUGAAGGGACUGGCGCAAUGAUUUACUAGUAAAAUUUGUAAUAGCUUAAGACUUCGCUAGUAUCAUUUAGUAGUUACAAAUCACUUUACUUCGCCAGUAGUGAGUCCCAAUAUCGGCUGAAUUGCUCUUUCGCCAGUAUUAGUCUGUCGGUAUAAGCUAAAAUUGUAGUAGUGUAAGCUAAUUCUUGAUUUACUGUAAUUAUUCCCUUAUCGGUUAAAACUUCAAAUCAUCAAAGAAAAUCAAAGCACUCUCUAAGAAUUUCACCCUUUAAGAGUGCAUUGAGGCAAACCUAAAAAAAUUCUUCUUCAUCAUCAUCUUGUCACGCUUCCUGAAUCCACCAUAGGAGAUUUUAGUUUGGCCCUCUGGAUGUCCUCUUUUAGGUCUUUACGCACCGCUUCUUGGGGCUUAUCACUUGAGCUCCCAAAGAUCACUCUCUUAGCUUCAGCAAAACUUCCGUCGUGAUCUCGUUUGCGUUUCCCUAGGAUCUCCAAGGCCUCCAGCUGUUUUUGCAUCUCUUUAGAAUAAGAAGUUACCAUCUUUGAUAACUUUUCAUUUUCUGCCUGCAAUAUUUGAAGCUAGCGUUGAUUCUCCUCUGCUGUUUUUUCCUCUUUUUUUUUUUUUCAAUCUUUUGAUCUCACGCCGAUAUUCAUCAACCAAAUUCUGCUCUGCCACAACUAAGCUCUCAGUACUUGCACCUCAUAAGAUUUUGCAAUGAGGCGAUGCCCCACACUUGUGAUAGUUGUCGCAUUUUGCAAGCACAGUGCCACAACAUUGCUCACUAACCGGUUGUCAUCCCCCGUUCCUAGUAUGCAUACAUCCCUGGGAGUCACCAAACUCUUCGCAACUCCAAUGGCAACCUCGUUGUCAAGGAGUAACGAGUCGCUUUUUGUCACUGGUCCUCGUGAAGAAGCAAAGUAGGGUAUCCAGACUGGUGCAACUCCUUGCCCCUAUGUCUGUGUUGGCGGAGCUAGGUUAAGAUCCAAAGAAGAUGAGAAGGGAUACGACAUUUUCUUUCUGCUUUCUUUUUCUUUCAUUUUCUCUCUUUUCUCUUUCUUCUUUCCUUUCUCUUUUCUUUCUUUCUUUUCUCUCUUCUGCGUGGUUGUAAUUCUUCUUUUUCCUUUGUUUCCUUUAAUAGAUGAACCCUAGCACCAUUGCACCGUCUAAUUUUUCCGCAUUCCUUGAGCUCCACAGCCUUCUCGCUUUCCACCGUCUACAACUUUGUCGCGACUUGUGCAACGUCGUCCCUACUAUCCAUGGCACCCAUAAUUCCGCUUGUAGAUUUGUCGUACCUCUGCGCGUCGACACAUGUCUCCUCUCUCUAGGGGUGGGCAUUGGAUUUGUGGUUCAAAUUGAUUUAGGGUUGAUUAAAAUAAAAUGGCAGCCCUAGAAACAGUGACCAGGUAUCUAUCCCAUAUGACAUAAAACAUUUAAAAACAUCCAUGGGACUAUAUUUAAAAAAUCAACUUGAUAAUGUUUAGUUGGAUUGUAUAAUGUGUUUUGUUUUGUUUUGUUGGAUUAUAAAAUGUUUAAGUUUCUGUUUUUUUGUUUAUUUAUAAAAUCAUCCAUGGGACUUCAUUUUCGGUUCAAGGUUCCAUUUUUUUAAGAAACCAGUCCAAAUCGGACCAUGCCCACCCCUACCUCUCUGUCUCUUUUUUUGCUUUGUUUUCCUUCUCUCUCUCUCUCUCUCUCUCUCUCUCUCUCUCUCUCUCUCUCUCUCUCUCUCUUCCUUAUAUAUUCUCUCCUCUCUCUGUUUUUUUAUUUAAAUUUUUUCAAUUGUGAGUUUUGUAACAUGCAUGUUAUUUUAUUUAUGAACCCAUUACACGACUCCAAACUCACACAAAAAAAGACGACCCGAACCCAAGAAGACAUGUUUAUUAAAUGGGUUAGAUUCGGGUUGAGCAUUCUUGACACGUUUGUUAAUUGGAUUGGGUUAAAUAAAUCAAUGACAGCAUAAAAUGAACACAGGGUUUGUGAAAAAUGUGAUAUUUUCAAUGACUAUAUUAAUAAAUCUUUAUUUUUUGAGUAGUUAGAUUUUUGCACAAAGCUUACCUUCCUCAACUGAUAGCUGCAUUGAUCUUUUGUCUAGCUCAACGGCGUGUCUGCUAAGCUCAGAUGGUGAUAAUUGACGAAGCGCUGGCAACAUGAUGAACGAAGAGCAUUUUCAGUGCUGGCAAAACUAAAGGCAGAAAAAUUGUAUGAAAUUUUUUAAAUUGAAAGAGCAGUGCCAUAAUAAAAUGACCUACUCUGGAUCUAUUCUCUCUGAUCAGAAUCAUCAAAUUGCUUCAAGAGGUUCUUGAAAUGUAGAAACCCUUCUGUCCUUUGCUCAUCAUGGUUCUUCUCAGAACCAACCAAGUGAGGAACCAGAGAUUCAGGAGUGAAUCUAAGUUGCCUGGAAUGAGCAGCUGGCAAUCCAUUGGAACAGGUGGUUUACCAGGUGAAAAAUCUACCGGAGAAGCCAAGGGCAUUGGUGCGAACGCAGAUGUCUCAUGUUCCUGCUUCUUGGUUCUGUCUCUAGGUAGGUCUUGCUGCUUUUGCAAACAAUAUCGUUUGAAAUUGAGAGAGUAAGUAUUUUGUUCUCACACCUUUAACUCUUCGCUUGCCUAAUGCUGAAUCUAACUUCCUCGCACUACCACCAUGCAUGAGCUGAUCACUUGCACUGCUGAUGCUCGUGAAUUGGUGACAAGGGGAGCUCCGUGGCAACUCAGGGUUGAGUAUCUUAGUUCCCAAAACCUUAAUGGGAUGCGCGACUGGUCGUCCUAGAAAAACAUACUUGUUAGGGUUAGAGGUCCAUCGGAGUAGUCAUUAGCUGCUAAUCAACCCGAGAGAGAGAGAGAGAGAGAGAGAGAGAGAGAGAGAGAGAGAGAGAGAGAGAGAGAGAGAGCAAAGAAGAAAUGUGGGGCGUGUUUUUUUUUUCCUAAUCUUAUAAUUAAGCGUGUGUUUUCUAAAUCGGGGCAUGUGAGUUGUAUUAGUCGGGUAAUGAGAGUAUUAAAAACUUUCGUUUAAUAUAAUUCAGUAAUUAAGUAAUACAAGUUGACAUCAAACAAAUGACAUUGACUAUUUACUCAUAUCCAUAGUCUAAUACCAUGUACCAAACAUACCUAUACGAGCUUUUGCCACAUGACUCAUCUAACAUGACAAUCCAAGUCCACAAACACAAGCAUACACACUAAGACAGGACACUCAUAUGCAUGUGAACUACAAGAACGACUGCAUAAUAUCUUGUAUAGAAACAAGACAAUACAACCGGCGCUUAUUACAUUGGAACUACAGUUCACAUUACAUACCAAAUUUAGUAUAACACAGAUAGGAAUUCAAACAUUUGACUUGGCAUAACCCUCAAAUGCUUGGCCUCACAUUGAGACGGGAUAAAAGCUUUUGACCCAGAGACUU
Molecule: long non-coding RNA, 14596 nt
Filed under: Prunus persica (peach)
Lineage: Eukaryota; Viridiplantae; Streptophyta; Magnoliopsida; Rosales; Rosaceae
Description: long non-coding RNA (PPER_LNC005025)
Source: RNAcentral